GAUGAACGCUGGCGGCGUGCUUAACACAUGCAAGUCGAACGGAAAGGCUCCUGCUUGCAGGGGUACUCGAGUGGCGAACGGGUGAGUAACACGUGGGUGAUCUGCCCUGCACUUCGGGAUAAGCCUGGGAAACUGGGUCUAAUACCGGAUAGGACGAUGGUUUGGAUGCCAUUGUGGAAAGUUUUUCGGUGUGGGAUGAGCUCGCGGCCUAUCAGCUUGUUGGUGGGGUAAUGGCCUACCAAGGCGUCGACGGGUAGCCGGCCUGAGAGGGUGUACGGCCACAUUGGGACUGAGAUACGGCCCAGACUCCUACGGGAAGCAGCAGUGGGAAAUAUUGCACAAUGGGCGCAAGCCUGAUGCAGCGACGCAGGGUGGGGGAUGACGGCCUUCAGGUUGUAAACUCCUUUCGCUAGGGACGAAGAGCAAGUGACGGUACCUGGAGAAGAAGCACCGGCUUACUACGUG
Molecule: ribosomal RNA, 465 nt
Filed under: uncultured bacterium
Lineage: Bacteria
Description: partial 16S ribosomal RNA
Rfam family: Bacterial small subunit ribosomal RNA
Source: RNAcentral